GCCAGGCGUGGUGGCACGCACCUGUAGUCCCAGCCACUCAGGAGGCUGAGGCAGGGGGAUUCCUUGAGCCCAGGAGUUCAAGGUUGCAGUGAGCUAUGAUGGCACCACUGCACUCCAGCCUGGGCAAUAGAGCAAGAUCCUGUCUCAA
This is an unclassified non-coding RNA of Pongo abelii (Sumatran orangutan), 148 nucleotides long. It matches the Rfam family "Metazoan signal recognition particle RNA". Rfam says of the family: The signal recognition particle (SRP) is a universally conserved ribonucleoprotein. It is involved in the co-translational targeting of proteins to membranes. The eukaryotic SRP consists of a 300-nucleotide 7S RNA and six proteins: SRPs 72, 68, 54, 19, 14, and 9. The record is from Ensembl. Lineage: Eukaryota; Metazoa; Chordata; Mammalia; Primates; Hominidae.